Molecule: long non-coding RNA, 918 nt
Filed under: Homo sapiens (human)
Lineage: Eukaryota; Metazoa; Chordata; Mammalia; Primates; Hominidae
Description: long non-coding RNA NONHSAT063030.2
Source: RNAcentral
CACUUACUGCCCGGGCCCUUCCUCACUUUUGGGGGGCGGGGGUGCGCAAGCGCAGUGGGGGAGCUCUGGGGUGGGGGUAGCGGUCGAGUAUCAAGUUGCUUUCUGUCCCGGCAGAGGAAGCCAGAUCGCUGAGGGUCCGGUCUCCAGUUUGCCUCCUGCUAUAUCCAUUGGAAGAGAAAAGUUUGUGACUUGGGCCCCCAAGUUUUGAGAGAACUGGGCUUUCGGCGCGGGGGGACAGAGGAGGCUCGUGGGGAGCUUUCCCCAUGGAGCUUACCCAGCCUGCAGAAGACCUCAUCCAGACCCAGCAGACCCCUGCCUCAGAACUUGGGGACCCUGAAGACCCCGGAGAGGAGGCUGCAGAUGGCUCAGACACUGUGGUCCUCAGUCUCUUUCCCUGCACCCCUGAGCCUGUGAAUCCUGAACCGGAUGCCAGUGUUUCCUCUCCACAGGGCAGCUCCCUGAAGCACUCCACCACUCUCACCAACCGGCAGCGAGGGAACGAGGUGUCAGCUCUGCCGGCCACCCUAGACUGUGAGUGGGCCCACGGUCCCCAACAAGGAGAGGAGUAGGAGGGUGGGAGGGCCUGUGAGGAGCAAUCGUGGACAGAGGGUAAACUGAGGCACAGAGAAGCAAGGGGAUGAGUGAGGACUCUGCCUCUGUCCUGCCCCAGCCCUGUCCAUCCACCAGCUCGCAGCACAGGGGGAGCUGGACCAGCUGAAGGAGCAUUUGCGGAAAGGUGCGUGUCCACACACAUGUGCUGGCAUGUCUGCACCUGGCUGGUGUGUGCAUAUGGGUGUCCAUACCCACUCAUGACGUGACCUGUGAGUGUCCACGUGUAUGAUUGUAUCUAACUGUGUGUGUGACCGUGUUCAUGUAUGUCCAUCAACAUACGCUCCCCCUCAUUCCCCUGUCUAACCC